GACGAACGCUGGCGGCGUGCUUAACACAUGCCAGUCGAACGGAAAGGCCCUGCUUUUGUGGGGUGCUCGAGUGGCGAACGGGUGAGUAACACGUGAGUAACCUGCCUUUGACUUUGGGAUAACUUCAGGAAACUGGGGCUAAUACCGGAUAGGAGCUCCUGCUGCAUGGUGGGGGUUGGAAAGUUUCGGCGGUUGGGGAUGGACUCGCGGCUUAUCAGCUUGUUGGUGGGGUAGUGGCUUACCAAGGCUUUGACGGGUAGCCGGCCUGAGAGGGUGACCGGCCACAUUGGGACUGAGAUACGGCCCAGACUCCUACGGGAGGCAGCAGUGGGGAAUAUUGCACAAUGGGCGGAAGCCUGAUGCAGCAACGCCGCGUGCGGGAUGACGGCCUUCGGGUUGUAAACCGCUUUCGCCUGUGACGAAGCGUGAGUGACGGUAAUGGGUAAAGAAGCACCGGCUAACUAC
This 465-nucleotide ribosomal RNA is filed under the name uncultured bacterium. RNAcentral describes it as "partial 16S ribosomal RNA". It matches the Rfam family "Bacterial small subunit ribosomal RNA", at positions 28 to 504 of the family's 1533-position model. The record is from RNAcentral.